AUGGCAACUUGCUUGUCUGACUUUAUUAGAGAUUAUUACUUAGACUUUAUUGGUAUCCAGGAAACAACGAAGAAGGAUUUUCCCUCUAAUUUCUUGAGGAAAAUUGAUACAGGAGAAUGUUUUUGUUGGAAUUGGAUUCCUCCAGUGGGCAAGUCUGGGGGAAUUUUGUGUGGUUCUAAAAAGGAUAUUUUUUAUAUUAGAUCCUGCAAGGUAGGAAAAUAUAUUAUGAAACUUGAGUUGUGGGAUAAAAGUAAAAAAUUGAACUAUUGUAUUCUUGUAGUCUAUGGAUCUGCACAUGAGGAUCAUAAAGUGGAGUUUUUGACUGAGCUCUCUAACAUGUGUAACAAUAUUACAUGCCCUUAUAUUGUGGGAGGUGAUUUCAAUAUACUUAGAUAUGCUAGUGAGAAAACAAGAAAACUAGGACAAGUCACUCUUCUCAUCUCUUUAACUCCAUCAUUAAUGCUUUUUGUCUAA
Molecule: ribosomal RNA, 474 nt
Filed under: Triticum aestivum (bread wheat)
Lineage: Eukaryota; Viridiplantae; Streptophyta; Magnoliopsida; Poales; Poaceae
Description: partial small subunit ribosomal RNA
Source: RNAcentral